AUUAAACGCUGGCGGCAUGCCUUACACAUGCAAGUCGAACGGCAGCACGGGGGCAACCCUGGUGGCGAGUGGCGGACGGGUGAGUAAAGCAUCGGAACGUAUCCUGGAGUGGGGGAUAACGUAGCGAAAGUUACGCUAAUACCGCAUAUUCUGUGAGCAGGAAAGCAGGGGAUCGCAAGACCUUGCGCUCUGGGAGCGGCCGAUGUCGGAUUAGCUAGUUGGUGGGUAAAGGCCUACCAAGGCGACGAUCCGUAGCGGGUCUGAGAGGAUGAUCCGCCACACUGGGACUGAGACACGGCCCAGACUCCUACGGGAGGCAGCAGUGGGAAUUUUGGACAAUGGGCGGAAGCCUGAUCCAGCCAUGCCGCGUGAGUGAAGAAGGCCUCGGUU
This 390-nucleotide ribosomal RNA is filed under the name uncultured bacterium. RNAcentral describes it as "bacterial SSU rRNA". It matches the Rfam family "Bacterial small subunit ribosomal RNA", at positions 29 to 424 of the family's 1533-position model. The record is from RNAcentral.